Molecule: ribosomal RNA, 368 nt
Filed under: uncultured bacterium
Lineage: Bacteria
Description: bacterial SSU rRNA
Rfam family: Bacterial small subunit ribosomal RNA
Source: RNAcentral
AGUGAACGCUGGCGGUGCGCCUAAAACAUGCAAGUCGAGUGGGUUUAGGCCCACGGCGGACGGCUGCGCAACACAUGGAUACCUGCCCCGAACUCAGGGAUAUCCCUCCGAAAGGAGGAGUAAUGCCGGAUGGUCCCGCAAGGGUAAAGGCUUUAGUCGGUUCGGGAGGGGUCUGUGCCCUAUCAGCUAGUUGGUAAGGUAACGGCUUACCAAGGCAAUGACGGGUAGCUGGUCUGAGAGGACGACCAGCCAGAAUGGAACUGAGACACGGUCCAUACUCCUACGGGAGGCAGCAGUUAGGAAUCUUCCACAAUGGGCGAAAGCCUGAUGGAGCGACACCGCGUGAAGGAUGAAGCCCUUUCUGGGUG